This 662-nucleotide ribosomal RNA is filed under the name uncultured beta proteobacterium. RNAcentral's name for it is "bacterial SSU rRNA". It matches the Rfam family "Bacterial small subunit ribosomal RNA", at positions 63 to 718 of the family's 1533-position model. Lineage: Bacteria; Pseudomonadati; Pseudomonadota; Betaproteobacteria. The record is from RNAcentral.
CGAACGGCAGCACGGGAGCUUGCUCCUGGUGGCGAGUGGCGAACGGGUGAGUAAUAUAUCGGAACGUGCCCUAGAGUGGGGGAUAACUAGUCGAAAGAUUAGCUAAUACCGCAUACGAUCUACGGAUGAAAGUGGGGGAUCGCAAGACCUCAUGCUCGUGGAGCGGCCGAUAUCUGAUUAGCUAGUUGGUGAGGUAAAGGCUCACCAAGGCAUCGAUCAGUAGCUGGUCUGAGAGGACGACCAGCCACACUGGGACUGAGACACGGCCCAGACUCCUACGGGAGGCAGCAGUGGGGAAUUUUGGACAAUGGGGGCAACCCUGAUCCAGCAAUGCCGCGUGAGUGAAGAAGGCCUUCGGGUUGUAAAGCUCUUUUGUCAGGGAAGAAACGGUGAGGGCUAAUAUCCUUUGCUAAUGACGGUACCUGAAGAAUAAGCACCGGCUAACUACGUGCCAGCAGCCGCGGUAAUACGUAGGGUGCAAGCGUUAAUCGGAAUUACUGGGCGUAAAGCGUGCGCAGGCGGUUAUGCAAGACAGAUGUGAAAUCCCCGGGCUCAACCUGGGAAUGGCAUUUGUGACUGUAUGGCUAGAGUGUGUCAGAGGGGGGUAGAAUUCCACGUGUAGCAGUGAAAUGCGUAGAUAUGUGGAGGAAUACCGAUGGCGA